This 345-nucleotide unclassified non-coding RNA is filed under the name soil metagenome. RNAcentral describes it as "partial contains 5.8S ribosomal RNA, internal transcribed spacer 2, and large subunit ribosomal RNA". The stretch from base 1 to 119 matches the Rfam family "5.8S ribosomal RNA", at positions 35 to 154 of the family's 154-position model. The record is from RNAcentral.
GAUGAAGAACUCAGCGAAAUGCGAUACGUAAUGUGAAUUGCAAAUUCAGUGAAUCAUCGAGUCUUUGAACGCACAUUGCGCCCCCUGGUAUUCCGGGGGGCAUGCCUGUCCGAGCGUCAUUGCUGCCCUCAAGCACGGCUUGUGUGUUGGGCCCCGUCCUCCGAUCCCGGGGGACGGGCCCGAAAGGCAGCGGCGGCACCGCGUCCGGUCCUCGAGCGUAUGGGGCUUUGUCACCCGCUCUGUAGGCCCGGCCGGCGCUUGCCGAUCAACCCAAAUUUUUAUCCAGGUUGACCUCGGAUCAGGUAGGGAUACCCGCUGAACUUAAGCAUAUCAAUAAGCGGAGGA